This 671-nucleotide ribosomal RNA is filed under the name uncultured bacterium. RNAcentral's name for it is "bacterial SSU rRNA". It matches the Rfam family "Bacterial small subunit ribosomal RNA", at positions 55 to 716 of the family's 1533-position model. The record is from RNAcentral.
UUGCAGUCGAACGGCAGCAUGACCUAGCUUGCUAGGUUGAUGGCGAGUGGCGAACGGGUGAGUAAUGCACCGGAACGUACCCAGUAAUGGGGGAUAACGCACCGAAAGGUGUGCUAAUACCGCAUACGCCCUGAGGGGGAAAGCGGGGGAUCGUAAGACCUCGCGUUAUUGGAGCGGCCGAUGCCGGAUUAGCUAGUUGGUGGGGUAAAGGCCUACCAAGGCGACGAUCCGUAGCUGGUCUGAGAGGACGACCAGCCACACUGGGACUGAGACACGGCCCAGACUCCUACGGGAGGCAGCAGUGGGGAAUUUUGGACAAUGGGCGCAAGCCUGAUCCAGCCAUGCCGCGUGAGUGAAGAAGGCCUUCGGGUUGUAAAGCUCUUUCGCAAGGAAAGAAAACUUAGCUACUAAUACUAGCUGAGGAUGACGGUACCUUGAUAAGAAGCACCGGCUAACUACGUGCCAGCAGCCGCGGUAAUACGUAGGGUGCGAGCGUUAAUCGGAAUUACUGGGCGUAAAGCGUGCGCAGGCGGUUCGAUAAGUCUGAUGUGAAAUCCCCGGGCUCAACCUGGGAACUGCGUUGGAAACUGUCGAGCUAGAGUGUAGAAGAGGGGGGUAGAAUUCCACGUGUAGCAGUGAAAUGCGUAGAGAUGUGGAGGAAUACCGAUGGC